CUGGUUUCCCUCCUUUCUCGUGCUCCGUACAUUUGAAUAAAGGUCAGAAAAAAAUUCUAUCUCGUUGUCUACUGCUUUGUAUAAAAACACCAUGUUUUUACAUCCAAAGGGAGCAUGAUGUAGACACGUAAUUUUGUCCUUUUCCAAAAAUAUUUUAAUCAUUUUUAUUUUUUUUAAUUAUUAUUUUUAUUUUAUUCACCUUACCAUAC
This 209-nucleotide long non-coding RNA is filed under the name Capsicum annuum. RNAcentral describes it as "long non-coding RNA (CANN_LNC015008)". The record is from RNAcentral. Lineage: Eukaryota; Viridiplantae; Streptophyta; Magnoliopsida; Solanales; Solanaceae.